UACGGAGGGUGCAAGCGUUGUCCGGAAUCACUGGGCGUAAAGGGCGCGUAGGCGGCUCAUGAAGGCUGUGGUGAAAGUCCGGGGCUCAACCUCGGAUCGGCCGUGGCGACUCGUGGGCUGGAGCACUGUAGAGGCGGGUGGAAUUCCGGGUGUAGCGGUGGAAUGCGUAGAGAUCCGGAAGAACACCAGUGGCGAAGGCGGCCCGCUGGGCAGUGGCUGACGCUGAGGCGCGACAGCGUGGGGAUCAAACAGG
RNAcentral lists this ribosomal RNA (253 nucleotides) under uncultured bacterium. RNAcentral's name for it is "partial 16S ribosomal RNA". It matches the Rfam family "Bacterial small subunit ribosomal RNA", at positions 524 to 776 of the family's 1533-position model. The record is from RNAcentral.